Molecule: ribosomal RNA, 495 nt
Filed under: uncultured bacterium
Lineage: Bacteria
Description: partial 16S ribosomal RNA
Rfam family: Bacterial small subunit ribosomal RNA
Source: RNAcentral
GACGAACGCUGGCGGCGUGCCUAAUACAUGCAAGUAGAACGCUGAAGGAGGGGCUUGCUUCUCCGGAUGAGUUGCGAACGGGUGAGUAACGCGUAGGUAACCUGCCUGGUAGCGGGGGAUAACUAUUGGAAACGAUAGCUAAUACCGCAUAAGAGUAGAUGUCGCAUGACAUUUGCUUAAAAGGUGCAACUGCACCACUACCAGAUGGACCUGCGUUGUAUUAGCUAGUUGGUGAGGUAACGGCUCACCAAGGCAACGAUACAUAGCCGACCUGAGAGGGGGGUCGGCCACACUGGGACGGAGACACGGCCCAGACUACUACGGGAGGCAGCAGUAGGGCAUCUUGGGCAAUGGAUGGAAGACUGACCGAGCAACGCCGAGUGAGUGAAGAAGGUUUUCGGGUCGUAAAGCUCGGUUGUAAGAGAAGAACGAGUGUGCGAGUGGAAAGUUCACAGUGUGACGGUAACUUACAAGAAAGGGACGGCUAACUACGUG